AUCCAGCUGAUGAGUCCCAAAUAAGAUGAAAUGCGCGUGCUGAAU
Molecule: non-coding RNA, 45 nt
Organism: Schistosoma mansoni
Lineage: Eukaryota; Metazoa; Platyhelminthes; Trematoda; Strigeidida; Schistosomatidae
Source: Rfam